Molecule: long non-coding RNA, 527 nt
Filed under: Canis lupus familiaris (dog)
Lineage: Eukaryota; Metazoa; Chordata; Mammalia; Carnivora; Canidae
Description: lncRNA (ENSCAFG00000047078.2)
Source: RNAcentral
UAUUUACAGAUUAGAAGGCAGAAAUUCUAAGACUGUUAACAGUUGUCAUUGCCUACCAAACUCAUGGAUUUCCAUCAGCAGUUUCUAAAAUUUAUGCUAAUAAGAUUAAUAUCCUGGAUUUAAUGAAACAGUGUCUAUAGAGAGAUCUGAGAUCUGGCAUAAGAUCUGAGAAAUAGGUCCCUGUACUUUUGGAAAUUCUAAGGAUCUCCUUUCAACACCAGUAUUUUCUGUGGUUACAGAAGCAUCUUCAGUCAGUUGUCACAAGAGUCUGACAUCUGUUUUUCUUGAAAAAUACUUUACUACUCCUGAAGGUGAUUUUAUUGUGGUGUCAAACAAAUAUCUCUGAGACCAGAUUUACCUGAAUUCUAAAAGGUUGUCAAUUUGGUUCGAGUUUUCAUCAGAGUUGGAUUAACAGCUGGAAGAAGAGUUGUCUCAUCUAAACAUUCACCAGGGGGCAAUGAGAAAAAUCUAUUAAAUUUGACAUAGGACAAUGGUACUUACUCAAUAAGACACUUUGAACAUUUGUA